This 309-nucleotide ribosomal RNA is filed under the name Triticum aestivum (bread wheat). RNAcentral's name for it is "partial small subunit ribosomal RNA". Lineage: Eukaryota; Viridiplantae; Streptophyta; Magnoliopsida; Poales; Poaceae. The record is from RNAcentral.
AUGACUGCUAUGCACGGCUCGGCUCCACACAGAACAGAGGAGUCGCCGACUCCAGAUCCAGCGCCGCCAGGAUUCAGCCCCACCGCCGCCGCCGCCGGGAUUCGCUUCAGCGCCGCCGCCGGGAUUCGCAUCGCCGCCGCUGGUAGUUGCCUCCGCGCCGCUGCUGGGAGUCACCCAAACUUGCGUCGGCAAGAGGUAGCAUUAUCUAUUUGCUACAAUCUGAAGAAGUGUAGGGCUUGGAAACCAAAGCUUCUUAACUGUUUGUACAAGACUAGAGUCAACUGGAUUGUUGCUGGCAGAGUGUUAUAG